UCGUAGUUGAAUUUGUGUCUCGCGCUGUCGGUUCAUCGCCUGCGUGCGGUGUUAACUGGCACGCCGCGGGACGUCUUGCCGGAAGGACCGGUAUGUGUUUGCUUCGUGUCGUUCUUGAUGUCCAUGUUACUCUAAUGUCCAUAAUUUUAUGAUUUGUUGUUGUGGUAUAUUUAUAUUUUAAACGGUAUAUUAUAUAUUACACACAUUUCUUAUUAUGGGUUCAUAUUGUCAUGGCUCCAUCAUGCUUCGGCCGGCUUAGUGCGUACGUAGUCCGACUUUAAUCCUGUCUAGGUGCUCUUAACUGAGUGUCGUGGCGGGCCGGCACGUUUACUUUGAACAAAUUAGAGUGCUUAAAGCAGGCUAUUGUUGCCUGAAUACAGUGUGCAUGGAAUAAUGAAACAGGACCUCGGUUCUAUUUUGUUGGUUUUCGGAAUUACGAGGUAAUGAUUAAUAGGGACAGAUGGGGGCAUUCGUAUUGCGACGUUAGAGGUGAAAUUCUUGGAUCG
RNAcentral lists this ribosomal RNA (506 nucleotides) under Omus californicus. RNAcentral describes it as "SSU rRNA". The stretch from base 134 to 506 matches the Rfam family "Eukaryotic small subunit ribosomal RNA", at positions 623 to 927 of the family's 1831-position model. The record is from RNAcentral. Lineage: Eukaryota; Metazoa; Arthropoda; Insecta; Coleoptera; Carabidae.